UCCCUGGUGGUCCAGUGGCUAAGACUCCACACUCCCAAUGCAGGGGUCCUGGGUUCAAUUCCUGGUUAGGGAA
Molecule: transfer RNA, 73 nt
Filed under: Ovis aries (sheep)
Lineage: Eukaryota; Metazoa; Chordata; Mammalia; Artiodactyla; Bovidae
Rfam family: tRNA
About the family: Transfer RNA (tRNA) molecules are approximately 80 nucleotides in length. Their secondary structure includes four short double-helical elements and three loops (D, anti-codon, and T loops).
Source: Rfam by way of RNAcentral